AUAGAUUCACCUUUUUCGGAAUCUUCUGAAGUUAAUCAAAUUUUUGACCUGGAAGUUACCGGCAGACCCUGAACUGUUAUUUCAUCUGUGAAAACAUUUUGCCAGCUGGUGUUACAGCUGAGGCGACUGCUGUGAGGGCCAACUUCUGCCACCGCGGGAAAGAUGCUCUCUUGCUGUGCCACGGAGCACUUCAACACACCGUGGAGUCCGCUGCCAGUUCCACACAACGAUCUGUGGGAGGUCAGGUUCCCAAAUAGUGCCGGAAAGCUGAAGAGAUGGGAAGUGCAGCCUUGGCC
Anguilla anguilla (European eel) is the source of this 296-nucleotide long non-coding RNA. RefSeq lists it as uncharacterized. The transcript is spliced from 3 exons. Lineage: Eukaryota; Metazoa; Chordata; Actinopteri; Anguilliformes; Anguillidae. The record is from RefSeq and is a predicted model, not a curated record.